Long non-coding RNA from Clarias gariepinus (North African catfish), 1040 nucleotides. RefSeq lists it as uncharacterized. The record is from RefSeq and is a predicted model, not a curated record. NCBI's taxonomy places the organism in Eukaryota, Metazoa, Chordata, Actinopteri, Siluriformes, Clariidae. The transcript is spliced from 2 exons.
UAACGGCUUUGAACUUUCGCUUUCGUUUUUCGACUACGGCUCUGCUUAGUGUUUGUUUUGGCUCGUCGCCCCCGCUGACGGAUUACACGGCUUUGGACUUCCGCUCUCGCCCCUCGACUACGACCCAGAUUCGCCCUUCCACUGCUACACUGCUCCUUAUCUCUUUGCUCUGCUCGCCCAACGCCUCACAGAACCACCUGCCUCUCUGCACCUGGAUCCAUCUCUCCGCCUGCUCGUUCUCACCUCCUGACAAAUUUACAUGCAGAAGUCAGAACAAUAUGUAUAAAGUAAUUGUGACCCUGGAUCCUGAUACAGCUCAUCCUGAACUCAGAGUGUCUGCUGAUGAAAAACAAGUGAAUGGUGGAGACACACGACAGGAUUUUCCUGAUACAAUAGAGAGGUUUAUUGUUGAUCCCUGUGUUGUGGGAAAGCAGUGUUUUUCCUCAGUGUGCAGGUCAGAGGGAGCACUGAGUGGAUAUUAGGAGUGAUAAGAGAGAACAUUAUCAGGAAGAAGGGGAUUCCAUGCUCACCUAAGGAUGGAUUCUGGACUGUGGGAUUGUUGGAGAAUCAGCACAAGGCUAAUUCUGGUCCUGCUGUCCCCAUCAACCUGAGAGAGAAGGUGGAGAUGUUUGUGGAUUAUGAGGAGGGUCUGGUCUCUUUUUAUGAUGUGGAGUCCAGAUCUCCUAUCUGGUCAGUCUUUCACUGAGAAACUCUAUCGAUAUUUUAGUCCAUGUUAUACAGAUGGUGUUUUACUUUUUUAGGACAAUGAACCACUGAGCAUAAUUGCUGUUAUUAAAUAAAUAUACUGUGUGAUUUAUAGCUUAUAACAUUUUAAACUACAUGUUUUACAGCUGGCUGCAAUCAUUACUUAUGUCUAAAAACAGAACAAUUUGUGUAAAAUAUGAUUUGAGACUAACUUAUUGUAUAUAAAAUAAGCAUAAACUCUAAAACAGCUAAAACAUGUAGAGCUUUUAUCAUUAUCUGACUUAAGCAGUUACAAUCAAAUUAAAGUCAUUAUUACACACAGUUACUGAUUAUUA